GAUGAACGCUGGCGGCGUGCCUAAUACAUGCAAGUCGAGCGAACAGAUGAGGAGCUUGCUCCUCUGACGUUAGCGGCGGACGGGUGAGUAACACGUGGAUAACCUACCUAUAAGACUGGGAUAACUUCGGGAAACCGGAGCUAAUACCGGAUAAUAUAUUGAACCGCAUGGUUCAAUAGUAAAGACGGUUUUGCUGUCACUUAUAGAUGGAUCCGCGCCGCAUUAGCUAGUUGGUAAGGUAACGGCUUACCAAGGCAACGAUGCGCAGCCGACCUGAGAGGGUGAUCGGCCACACUGGAACUGAGACACGGUCCAGACUCCUACGGGAGGCAGCAGUAGGGAAUCUUCCGCAAUGGGCGAAAGCCUGACGGAGCAACGCCGCGUGAGUGAUGAAGGUCUUCGGAUCGUAAAACUCUGUUAUUAGGGAAGAACAAAUGUGUAAGUAACUAUGCACGUCUUGACGGUACCUAAUCAGAAAGCCACGGCUAACUACGUG
This 496-nucleotide ribosomal RNA is filed under the name uncultured bacterium. Its description in RNAcentral is "partial 16S ribosomal RNA". It matches the Rfam family "Bacterial small subunit ribosomal RNA", at positions 28 to 507 of the family's 1533-position model. The record is from RNAcentral.